RNAcentral lists this unclassified non-coding RNA (1146 nucleotides) under Hevea brasiliensis (rubber tree). The record is from RNAcentral. Lineage: Eukaryota; Viridiplantae; Streptophyta; Magnoliopsida; Malpighiales; Euphorbiaceae.
AUUUUAUCGGAGGGCUUCACUCCCAUGACGCUCGGUAAUUCUAGAGCAGCAGGUUCAUUGAUAAUUGGCUUGGAUGCUUUUUGGGUUGCUCUCAUUGAUCAGUGGUUAACAAAUUACUGCGUUCCAUAACUAAAGACUUUAUUCCAAUGUGCAUGAGAUCAGUUAUUUGGGUUCUUUCCUCUACUCAACUUGAUUUAGGACUGCUAUUGCAGUUAAGUCUAGGGAUGUGCAUAACCAAGCAUCUGUUAGCCUAAUCAACAUAUAGCUUUUCUUUUCUUGUGUUUCUCUUUAUCCAUUCUUGUUCCAUGAGGCUUAUUCAUUUGAAUGGUUUGUACCUGUAUAGUGAUAGUAGCUUGGCUCCUCAUCUUGAACCUUGAGCUUUUUAGUUUUACUGUUCAUUAACACCUCACUUCUGGCAGCUUUGUACCACUGUAGUAAAGUGUUGUGAAAAUUCACCCACACAAAUUAAAAGAACAUGUGUGGGUGUAAGCUUACUCCACCAACAAACCCACUAAUCAAAGGAAAAAUAAUUUACAACUACUAAUUAUUUUUCUAACUCCCAAAUAGUCACAAAUCAAUCACAAGUAAAAUCACUCACAGAUGCACUGUUACUCAAAUUUCAGACUGCCUGCACUCACUCCAUGGUUCGGUGGCCUUGCAACUCUCAAAGAAUACUCACUAAAAACUGGUGCACCUCUCCACUCUUUUUAAAUUAUAGCCACUAGCACUCUUUUUAUAGUUCAUGUGAGAAACAUGGUCGGCGACGCAAGUCCACUUCUCUUUGGAAUUCCAAAUUCAAGUCCAAGUAUAAUUGGACAUUCUAAGCACCGAAUCUUCUUUUUUAUUUUUAUUAAACUUCCUAAUCUAAUUCUAAUAACUAAACUUCCUUUGUAAUGUUAACUCAAUUCCUCAUUCCAUUUGGUCUUGGAUUUCCUACACAAAGUCUGUGUGUAAGUUGGUUGCCACGAGGUUUAGUUGUCUACUAGGUGUCAGUCCUACUUCUUCCAAGUAUGAGUCUCAUAUUUCAUUCACUUCUGAAUAAAAGAUGCCAUAAGUUUAGUUUUGGAACAGCUAACUUACUUGCUGAUUCCAUUCUCAUUCCUUUUCUUUGCCUUAUUGACCAUGAAAAGGGUUAAUGUAUACAAG